GGCUCAACGAGAUUGGGGAAAAAAAAAACAUGUUUUGAACACCAGGAUAAACUUCUAAAGUUGCAACCUAGACCGCCGGUAAAGAUAACGAGAGUUUUAGCCUGUCGGGCUCAAUUAUAACAAAAUGUUGGUGCUUAAGAAUCCGUGCCUGAGGUCGUUGGGCAACAAGCAAUUCACGAUCGUCAUGUUGAGGUGAGACAUUGGGUUUCAGAAUAUAAGAUAACUGACAAGUGCUUUUUUCCCUUCCAUCUGUUUUGAAACAGACACGGUUAAGGCUGCCCAUGGAAUGGUUGGUGGCACACAAGUGAGGAGAGAUCGCAGUCAUUUUUUCUGCUGCAACGCGAUGGUUAUCAUCACCAACCCAUCUCGAAUUCAAUACUUGCAUGCGCGA
Molecule: small RNA, 391 nt
Filed under: Histoplasma capsulatum var. duboisii H88
Lineage: Eukaryota; Fungi; Ascomycota; Eurotiomycetes; Onygenales; Ajellomycetaceae
Description: Histoplasma capsulatum H88 hypothetical RNA
Source: RNAcentral